GGAGUUAGCCGGUGCUUCUUCUGUGAGUGAUGUCCUUCCUGCCGGCUAUUAACCCGCAGGCCUUCUUCCUCACUGAAAGUGCUUUACAACCCGAAGGCCUUCUUCACACACGCGGCAUGGCUGGAUCAGGGUUGCCCCCAUUGUCCAAUAUUCCCCACUGCUGCCUCCCGUAGGAGUCUGGGCCGUGUCUCAGUCCCAGUGUGGCUGAUCAUCCUCUCAGACCAUCUACGGAUCGUCGCCUUGGUGAGCCGUUACCUCACCAACCAGCUAAUCCGACAUAGGCUCAUCCGAUAGCGCGAGGCCCGAAGGUCCCCCGCUUUCCCCCGUAGGGCGUAUGCGGUAUUAGCCUGGGUUUCCCCAGGUUAUCCCCCACUACCCGGGCAGAUUCCUAUGCAUUACUCACCCGUCCGCCGCUCGCCACCAGGGAGCAAGCUCCCCGUGCUGCCGCUCGACUUGCAUGUGUUAGGCCUGCCGCCAGCGUUCAAUCUGAGCCAGAAUCAAACUCUGA
Molecule: ribosomal RNA, 508 nt
Filed under: uncultured bacterium
Lineage: Bacteria
Description: partial 16S ribosomal RNA
Source: RNAcentral